This 229-nucleotide ribosomal RNA is filed under the name uncultured Actinomycetales bacterium. RNAcentral describes it as "partial 16S ribosomal RNA". It matches the Rfam family "Bacterial small subunit ribosomal RNA", at positions 104 to 334 of the family's 1533-position model. The record is from RNAcentral. Lineage: Bacteria; Bacillati; Actinomycetota; Actinomycetes; Actinomycetales.
GGGUGAGUAACACGUGGGUGAUCUGCCCUGCACUUCGGGAUAAGCCUGGGAAACUGGGUCUAAUACCGGAUAGGAGCCAUUUUUUAGUGUGAUGGUUGGAAAGUUUUUUUCGGUGUAGGAUGAGCUCGCGGCCUAUCAGCUUGUUGGUGGGGUAAUGGCCUACCAAGGCGGCGACGGGUAGCCGGCCUGAGAGGGUGGACGGCCACAUUGGGACUGAGAUACGGCCCAG